GUCUGGUUUGGCUCUGGACCAAUCGGAACCCAAAGGUAGAGAGAGACGGGGCUCUCUGAACGGCGGACUGAAGGCUGUUAAACUGACAAAUUCAUCCCAAGUCCAUCUCCAGCGGUCUGGGCCGUGUCAGGGCAUGGCCAAGUCUCCAGCUGUGGGGAGGCCCAGUACCGCCCUUGUUCCAGGCACCCCCACCCCCCAGCGCCACCACCCCCACAUUCUUUCUUUGUUGUGAAAGCAGCAAGGGGUGUAGGAGGCGGGUCAGGAGGAGUCAAGCUUUAGAAGAUGGGCCCCAGCUGCUGCUGGGCCUCCAGGAUCUGCUGAGAGGGGAUGGAUAAAAAGUGAAAUACAUGGACCUGAAGUGAGGCAGCAGAGGGAACAAGACAGGCCAGGGCAAGGCAGGUUGGCUGGCCAGCCCCAAGCCCUCUGACAGAAAAGCCAGCAGCAGGCUGCAUCUCUGAGGACCUAGGACGGAGUCUGGAACCUCAACCUCAAGCUCUAGGGCUUGUGCUACCUUUGCUAGGACUUCCCAGAAGGCCAAGAUCUGGUGGGGAAUAUACCUGGAAGAACCACAUGAAUAUGGGGAUAUACUCUGAAUGUGGUCAUUUCUCAUUAAAAUAUCAUUGCUGUGUUUUCUCAAA
Molecule: non-coding RNA, 638 nt
Organism: Odocoileus virginianus texanus
Lineage: Eukaryota; Metazoa; Chordata; Mammalia; Artiodactyla; Cervidae
Source: RefSeq, a predicted model, not a curated record